UAGGGAAUCUUCGGCAAUGGACGAAAGUCUGACCGAGCAACGCCGCGUGAGUGAAGAAGGUUUUCGGAUCGUAAAACUCUGUUGUUAGAGAAGAACAAGGACGUUAGUAACUGAACGUCCCCUGACGGUAUCUAACCAGAAAGCCACGGCUAACUACGUGCCAGCAGCCGCGGUAAUACGUAGGUGGCAAGCGUUGUCCGGAUUUAUUGGGCGUAAAGCGAGCGCAGGCGGUUUCUUAAGUCUGAUGUGAAAGCCCCCGGCUCAACCGGGGAGGGUCAUUGGAAACUGGGAGACUUGAGUGCAGAAGAGGAGAGUGGAAUUCCAAGUGUAGCGGUGAAAUGCGUAGAUAUAUGGGGGAACACCAGUGGCGAAGGCGGCUCUCUGGUCUGUAACUGACGCUGAGGCUCGAAAGCGUGGGGAGCAAACAGG
Molecule: ribosomal RNA, 429 nt
Filed under: Gemmatimonadota bacterium
Lineage: Bacteria; Pseudomonadati; Gemmatimonadota
Description: Gemmatimonadetes bacterium partial 16S ribosomal RNA
Rfam family: Bacterial small subunit ribosomal RNA
Source: RNAcentral